GUGCCAGCCGCCGCGGUAAUACGGAGGAUGCGAGCGUUAUCCGGAUUUAUUGGGUUUAAAGGGUGCGUAGGCCGACUUUUAAGUCAGCGGUGAAAUUUUCCGGCUUAACCGGGACCUUGCCGUUGAAACUGAUAGUCUUGAGUGUAAAUGAGGUAGGCGGAAUGUGUGGUGUAGCGGUGAAAUGCUUAGAUAUCACACAGAACUCCGAUUGCGAAGGCAGCUUACUGGCAUACAACUGACGCUGAGGCACGAAAGUGUGGGUAUCAAACAGGAUUAGAUACCCUGGUAGUCCACACAGUAAACGAUGAUAACUAGCCGUUGGCGAUAUACAGUCAGUGGCAGAGCGAAAGCAUUAAGUUAUCCACCUGGGGAGUACGCCGGCAACGGUGAAACUCAAAUGAAUUGACGG
RNAcentral lists this ribosomal RNA (409 nucleotides) under uncultured bacterium. Its description in RNAcentral is "bacterial SSU rRNA". It matches the Rfam family "Bacterial small subunit ribosomal RNA", at positions 505 to 916 of the family's 1533-position model. The record is from RNAcentral.